This 23-nucleotide non-coding RNA is filed under the name Arabidopsis thaliana (thale cress). The record is from RNAcentral. Lineage: Eukaryota; Viridiplantae; Streptophyta; Magnoliopsida; Brassicales; Brassicaceae.
AUACUUUUGACUGUUGUCCGCGC